RNAcentral lists this ribosomal RNA (2893 nucleotides) under Vitreoscilla stercoraria. RNAcentral describes it as "23S ribosomal RNA". It matches the Rfam family "Bacterial large subunit ribosomal RNA". The record is from RNAcentral. Lineage: Bacteria; Pseudomonadati; Pseudomonadota; Betaproteobacteria; Neisseriales; Neisseriaceae.
AGUCAAGUGAAUAAGUGCAUCAGGUGGAUGCCUUGGCGAUGAUAGGCGACGAAGGACGUGUAAGCCUGCGAAAAGCGUGGGGGAGCUGGCAAUAAAGCUUUGAUCCCGCGAUGUCCGAAUGGGGAAACCCACCUAAUUUAUUAGGUACCUUUGACUGAAUACAUAGGUCACUGGAGCAAACCCGGAGAACUGAACCAUCUAAGUACCCGGAGGAAAAGAAAUCAACCGAGAUUCCGCAAGUAGUGGCGAGCGAACGCGGAAAAGCCUGUUAGUGAUAGUAGUCGAGAUAGAAGAACAUGCGGAAAGUAUGACCAUAGUGCGUGAUAGUCGCGUAUUCGAAAUCUCAACUGCGGUACUAAGCUAACGACAAGUAGGGCGGGACACGAGAAAUCCUGUCUGAAUAUGGGGGGACCAUCCUCCAAGGCUAAAUACUCAUCAUCGACCGAUAGUGAACCAGUACCGUGAGGGAAAGGCGAAAAGAACCCCGGAAGGGGAGUGAAAUAGAACCUGAAACCUGAUGCAUACAAACAGUGGGAGCGGACUUGUUCCGUGACUGCGUACCUUUUGUAUAAUGGGUCAACGACUUACGUUCAGUAGCAAGGUUAACCGAAUAGGGGAGCCGUAGAGAAAUCGAGUCUUAAUAGGGCGAUUAGUUGCUGGGCGUAGACCCGAAACCAAGUGAUCUAUCCAUGGCCAGGAUGAAGUUGCCGUAACAGGUAAUGGAGGUCCGAACCCACUAAUGUUGCAAAAUUAGGGGAUGAGCUGUGGAUAGGGGUGAAAGGCUAAACAAACUUGGAGAUAGCUGGUUCUCCCCGAAAACUAUUUAGGUAGUGCCUCGAGGUACACUCAUGGGGGUAAAGCACUGUUAUGGCUAGGGGGUUAUUGCAACUUACCAACCCAUGGCAAACUAAGAAUACCAUGAAGUGAUUCCUCGGGAGACAGACAUCGGGUGCUAACGUCCGGUGUCAAGAGGGAAACAACCCGAGACCGCCAGCUAAGGUCCCAAAUGAUAGAUUAAGUGGUAAACGAAGUGAGAAGGCCCGAGACAGCUAGGAUGUUGGCUUAGAAGCAGCCACCAUUUAAAGAAAGCGUAAUAGCUCACUAGUCGAGUCGUCUUGCGCGGAAGAUGUAACGGGGCUCAAAUCUAUAACCGAAGCUGCGGAUGUACGCUUAUGCGUAUGUGGUAGGGGAGCGUUCUGUAGGCCUGCGAAGGUGGAUUGUGAAGUCUGCUGGAGGUAUCAGAAGUGCGAAUGUUGACAUGAGUAGCGAUAAAGGGGGUGAAAAGCCCCCUCGCCGAAAACCCAAGGUUUCCUACGCAACGUUCAUCGGCGUAGGGUGAGUCGGCCCCUAAGGCGAGGCAGAGAUGCGUAGUCGAUGGGAAACAGGUUAAUAUUCCUGUACUUGAUUUAAGUGCGAUGUGGGGACGGAGAAGGUUAGGUCAGCAAACUGUUGGAAUAGUUUGUUCAAGCCAGUAGGUGGAAUUCUUAGGCAAAUCCGGGAAUUCAUUCAACACCGAGAAGUGAUAACGAGGUUCUACGGAACCGAAGUGACCGAUACCACGCUUCCAGGAAAAGCCACUAAGCUUCAGCUUAUAUCAAACCGUACCGCAAACCGACACAGGUGGGUGGGAUGAAAAUUCUAAGGCGCUUGAGAGAACUCGGGAGAAGGAACUCGGCAAAUUGAUACCGUAACUUCGGGAGAAGGUAUGCCUGGUAUUGUGAAGGAUUUACUCCGUAAGCAACGCCAGGCCGCAGAGAAUCGGUGGCUGCGACUGUUUAUUAAAAACACAGCACUCUGCUAACACGAAAGUGGACGUAUAGGGUGUGACGCCUGCCCGGUGCUGGAAGGUUAAUUGAAGAUGUGCAAGCAUCGGAUCGAAGCCCCAGUAAACGGCGGCCGUAACUAUAACGGUCCUAAGGUAGCGAAAUUCCUUGUCGGGUAAGUUCCGACCCGCACGAAUGGCGUAACGAUGGCCACACUGUCUCCUCCCGAGACUCAGCGAAGUUGAAAUGGUUGUGAAGAUGCAAUCUACCCGCUGCUAGACGGAAAGACCCCGUGAACCUUUACUGUAGCUUUGCAUUGGACUUUGAAGUCACUUGUGUAGGAUAGGUGGGAGGCUUUGAAGCACAGACGCUAGUCUGUGUGGAGCCGUCCUUGAAAUACCACCCUGGUGACUUUGAGGUUCUAACCCAGGUCCGUUAUCCGGAUCGGGGACCGUGCAUGGUAGGCAGUUUGACUGGGGCGGUCUCCUCCCAAAGAGUAACGGAGGAGUUCGAAGGUUACCUAGGUCCGGUCGGAAAUCGGACUGAUAGUGCAAUGGCAAAAGGUAGCUUAACUGCGAGACCAACAAGUCGAGCAGGUGCGAAAGCAGGACAUAGUGAUCCGGUGGUUCUGUAUGGAAGGGCCAUCGCUCAACGGAUAAAAGGUACUCCGGGGAUAACAGGCUGAUUCCGCCCAAGAGUUCAUAUCGACGGCGGAGUUUGGCACCUCGAUGUCGGCUCAUCACAUCCUGGGGCUGUAGUCGGUCCCAAGGGUAUGGCUGUUCGCCAUUUAAAGUGGUACGUGAGCUGGGUUUAAAACGUCGUGAGACAGUUUGGUCCCUAUCUGCAGUGGGCGUUGGAAAUUUGACGGGGGCUGCUCCUAGUACGAGAGGACCGGAGUGGACGAACCUCUGGUGUACCGGUUGUCACGCCAGUGGCAUAGCCGGGUAGCUAAGUUCGGAAGAGAUAAACGCUGAAAGCAUCUAAGCGUGAAACUCGCCUGAAGAUGAGAUUUCCCUUGUGGUUUAACCACACUAAAGAGUCGUUCGAGACCAGGACGUUGAUAGGUGGGGUGUGGAAGAGCGGUAACGCUUGAAGCUAACCCAUACUAAUUGCUCGUGAGGCUUGACUCU